UCGAUUUGCCUGAUAUUUACCUUGUUAUCCUCAAAGCAGUAAUUAGUGGAUCUCCUAUGUGCAAAUUCCUUUUUCAUAAUUUAUGCUUGAGAUUGGAGCUGCAUAAGGCUGGAGAUGUGAUAGGUUUUAUUCCUCUAGGUUUUGUUGUCCAUCAUUCUUUGAUGUUGUAGCUUCUCCAAUCUCACAUUGAUCAUCCUUGUUACAUUUCAAUUUCUUUGAUACUUUCGUGUGAGAUUCAGAUUGAUGAUAGUGGUAGGAAGUCAUGCUUGUACUUUUGGGCGAGAGCUGGUGAUUAUCUUGAGGUUAUAAUUGAUAGUUCCUUCGCAGCUCUUAGGCUUCAAUUUCCCUUUUGAGCGGUUGUGAAUUCUUGUGUUCGAUCGGGAUUUAGUUGUAGAUUUGGCACACACCGCAGGUUCUAUAUUCAAGGCUUAUGGUGAAAGUUGGUUCAGCUUUAGAGGUUCAUUUCUUCGAACGAUUGGAUUUGACUCUCUGAUUCCUUUGAAUUAUUGUGAUUUGUCGUAGCUUUAUUCCAAGAUAUCUUAUUGCAAGAUAACGUAUUUGUGUAAACUGAUCAUGGUUCAUGCUUAAGAUGCAAGCUGGAUGAAUCUGGACAUUUAUUGAUUUAAUCAUGAGUUGCAAUAAUCUAGGUUUUUUUGUUAUCUCUUUCGUUUUAGUGAUUAGCCAUGAUUGACUUGUGACUCGACGAGUAAUCUUAGAAUGGGUCUUGCUGUUGUAGAAUGGUCAUGUAAGGACUCAGUACUUUGGAUAAGUGGAUCAUAUUUGUGCAGAAGUUGCACAUAUGGGGGCUUCCUUGGAUUAUAUUAUUCUAAGUGAUGUUGGAACAUAUCACUACCUAAAAGAGUAAUAAUGACAGGUAUAUCUGUUCCUCAGACAAAUUUCGAGGACAAAAUUUUUAUUAGUGGGGGAGAUUGUGAGAUUCAGUAUUGAUUUUACUAAACAUGCAUAUAUAUAUAUAUAUACAUAGCUACACUUAUAUAUGUAUAUUAGAUACCACAUAUUUAUGUGACUGAGCAUUACACAAUUAAAAAAAAAAGAAAAAAAAGAGGAAAUUGGCAUGGCCCCCACGUGGCCCAAAAAUUUUCCACUAAGGACCAAUUUUGCCACCGCCAUUGACUUCUUUCUUUACUUUAGUAAUUCAUUUUUUUUCUUCUUUGUUCUGGGUUACCUGAAGAAAUCGAAGAACAGAGGGAGAAAGAGAAAGAGAGAGAGAGAGAGAGGAACAGAGAGCUCGAGAUGGAGCUUUGGGAAGAAGGGAGAUCAGAGGGACGAUUUCGGUGAGGGUGAUGGUGAUGGUCUUACGUUGUCCUCUGCUCCAUCUCUAUAAGCUUCUAGCUGUGCGGAAGAACCACUUUUUGAAAUCGGGGAUCAGCUCGGAGAAUUAGGUAGGGACUUUAGUUAUUUGAUAAGUAUUCUUUUUGCGUAGAAUGCAUUUAAAUAUGUUACGACCUGGAGCUUUUGUGUAGUUGGUUUAGUGAUGUGGGUGAAAAGAAAAUACUCUCUUUUGAGAUGCAUAUACAUAUUAGAGAUUGCUAGGUUGGAUAUAUAUACAUAUUUUUGGACCUUAUGGAAAGCAGGUUUUGAUAUGAAUAGUUUGUGUGGUAUGGGAUAUCGACGAAAUUAAGGGGAAGUUCUGUCGAAAUUUUGGGUCGUGACAUUAUGUUGUAAUGUGUGAUUAUAAAUUUUUUUGUUGCUAUAUAAAGAAUAAAACAUAACUCUACAUUUGGAUCUCUAACGUACCUUAAACUUAUAUAUGGUAAAUAUUUCUUUUCAA
Molecule: non-coding RNA, 1792 nt
Organism: Punica granatum (pomegranate)
Lineage: Eukaryota; Viridiplantae; Streptophyta; Magnoliopsida; Myrtales; Lythraceae
Source: RefSeq, a predicted model, not a curated record